CCACUGGGGAGUACGCCGCAACGUGAAACUCAAAGGAAUUGACGGGGCCCGCACAAGCGGAGGACAUGUGUUAUUCGAUGAUACGCGAGGAACCUUACCCGGGCUUGAACUGCAGAGGAAGGAUCUAGAGAUAGUGACGCCCUUCGGGGCCUCUGUGGAGGUGCUGCAUGGUUGUCGUCAGCUCGUGCCGUGAGGUGUCGGCUUAAGUGCCAUAACGAGCGCAACCCCUCUCCGUAGUUGCCAUCGGGUUAAGCCGGGCACUCUGCGGACACUGCCACCGUAAGGUGUGAGGAAGGUGGGGAUGACGUCAAAUCAGCACGGCCCUUACGUCCGGGGCUACACACGUGUUACAAUGGGGAGUACAGAAGGCCGGUCGCUGGCAAUGGCGAUCCAAUCUUAAAAGCUCUCCUCAGUUCGGAUUGGGGUCUGCAACCCGACCCCAUGAAGCUGGAUUCGCUAGUAAUCGCGCAUCAGCCAUGGCGCGGUGAAUACGUUCCCGGGCCUUGUACACACCGCCCGUCAAGCCAUGAAAGCCUGGGGCGCCUGAAGUCCGUGACCGCGAGGGUCGGCCUAGGGUGAAACAGGUGAUUGGGGCU
Molecule: ribosomal RNA, 596 nt
Filed under: uncultured rumen bacterium
Lineage: Bacteria
Description: bacterial SSU rRNA
Rfam family: Bacterial small subunit ribosomal RNA
Source: RNAcentral